GUGUUGUAAUGGUAUUUACUAAUUAAUGACUUUAAAUCAUAAAGAAAGCAUAUUUAGUGUAAUGCUUUGGGGGCACCACUAGAGGGAGUGUGUAGGAAGACAUGUGCUUUUGGCAGUGACAUCACAGGCCAGCCUACUUACACUGAAUAAAACCAGAUGGAGGAGAAAACUCUGUCCCUUUGCCUGUAACUGACUGAACCUAAGAUGUAGUAUCAGC
This is a non-coding RNA of Pelobates cultripes (western spadefoot toad), 217 nucleotides long. The record is from the annotation of a GenBank genome assembly. NCBI's taxonomy places the organism in Eukaryota, Metazoa, Chordata, Amphibia, Anura, Pelobatidae.